Molecule: long non-coding RNA, 610 nt
Organism: Herpailurus yagouaroundi (jaguarundi)
Lineage: Eukaryota; Metazoa; Chordata; Mammalia; Carnivora; Felidae
Exons: 2
Source: RefSeq, a predicted model, not a curated record
CGGGCCCGCGCGGAGUCGGGAGUGGUAGUCUUUUUGCCCGCGGUCCGUGGCGCCUGCCGGGACCCGCCCUCCUCGCCGCCCCGCGGGCGGGAGGAGGGAGCGCCGCUGUGGCGGGAGAGUCGUCGCCACGUUAGCAGGAUGGUUUCUGUAUGGCUAUCUAAAAUCUGGACCAACCCUACCUGUCCUUCCUGAUUUCCCUCUGUAGCUGUGAGGAUCCUUUCUUCACUCUGAUGGGGGCAAAAGGCAAACUGAGGGCAAAGCGGGCCCUGACACUGCACAACCCACCCCCCUUGAGGGGGGAUUCCUCAGGUACCAGUAACCGCUAAGAACGAAGCAAAGGAAGAACGAAUGGUCAACCGAUAAAGAUCACAGUCAUGUAGGGCUUGAAACUCCGCUACAGUUUGUAACUGUCUUAAUGAUUUACAAGGAAAACACAAUCUUAAUAACAGACCUCCAGGAACCUUGGACUCAAUCUCCUGGAGCCCUAGUCACCUCCACCUCCAUAGGGUAGAAAACCCUGUAUGAUCCGUCACUCCUGACAGUCACAACGCGACUCUGCCCACGGAUCUUCUCCCCGUGCCGUAAUAAAAACAUCUUUCCUCGCUGUGAA